RNAcentral lists this microRNA precursor (61 nucleotides) under Taeniopygia guttata (zebra finch). RNAcentral describes it as "Tgu-Mir-135-P4_pre stem-loop". It matches the Rfam family "mir-135 microRNA precursor family", at positions 17 to 74 of the family's 88-position model. Rfam says of the family: The hairpin precursors (represented here) are predicted based on base pairing and cross-species conservation -- their extents are not known. Lineage: Eukaryota; Metazoa; Chordata; Aves; Passeriformes; Estrildidae. The record is from RNAcentral.
UAUGGCUUUUUAUUCCUAUGUGAUUGCUUUCCCGAACUCAUGUAGGGCGAAAAGCCAUGGG